UACAGAGGGUGCAAGCGUUAAUCGGAAUUACUGGGCGUAAAGCGCGCGUAGGCGGCUGUCUAAGUCGGGUGUGAAAGCCCCGGGCUCAACCUGGGAACUGCAUUCGAUACUGGACGGCUAGAGUAUGAGAGAGGGAGGUAGAAUUCCACGUGUAGCGGCGAAAUGCGUAGAUAUGUGGAGGAAUACCGGUGGCGAAGGCAAUCCCCUGGACCUGUACUGACGCUCAUGCACGAAAGCGUGGGGAGCAAACAGGAUUAGAUACCCUUGUAGU
Molecule: ribosomal RNA, 271 nt
Filed under: uncultured bacterium
Lineage: Bacteria
Description: partial 16S ribosomal RNA
Rfam family: Bacterial small subunit ribosomal RNA
Source: RNAcentral